ACAUGCUUACAACAUAGAGUUAAUGGAACAAAUCCCAUUAGAACUCUGAAGUUAAGAGCACCCAUGCUAGAGUCGUAUUGGGAUGGGUAAUUUCCCAGGAAGUCUUAUUAUUUUACAUGCC
Molecule: non-coding RNA, 121 nt
Organism: Picea glauca (white spruce)
Lineage: Eukaryota; Viridiplantae; Streptophyta; Pinopsida; Pinales; Pinaceae
Source: Rfam